Molecule: ribosomal RNA, 478 nt
Filed under: uncultured bacterium
Lineage: Bacteria
Description: partial 16S ribosomal RNA
Rfam family: Bacterial small subunit ribosomal RNA
Source: RNAcentral
AUUGAACGCUGGCGGCAUGCCUUACACAUGCAAGUCGAACGGUAAGGCCCUUCGGGGUACACGAGUGGCGAACGGGUGAGUAACACGUGGGUGAUCUGCCCUGCACUUCGGGAUAAGCCUGGGAAACUGGGUCUAAUACCGGAUAGGACCACUGCCUGCAUGGGUGGUGGUGGAAAGCUUUUGCGGUGUGGGAUGGGCCCGCGGCCUAUCAGCUUGUUGGUGGGGUGAUGGCCUAACAAGGCGACGACGGGUAGCCGGCCUGAGAGGGUGACCGGCAACACUGGGACUGGGAUACGGCCCAGACUCCUGCGGGAGGCAGCAGUGGGGAAUAUUGCACAAUGGGCGCAAGCCUGAUGCAGCGACGCCGCGUGAGGGAUGACGGCCUUCGGGUUGUAAACCUCUUUCAGCACCGACGAAGCGCAAGUGACGGUAGGUGCAGAAGAAGGACCGGCCAACUACGUGACAGCCGCCGCCGUAA